UGCAAGUCGAGCGGUACAUUUCUAGCUUGCUAGAAGAUGACGAGCGGCGGACGGGUGAGUAAUGCUUGGGAAUAUGCCUUAGGGUGGGGGACAACAGUUGGAAACGACUGCUAAUACCGCAUAACGUCUACGGACCAAAGGGGGCUUCGGCUCUCGCCCUUAGAUUAGCCCAAGUGGGAUUAGCUAGUUGGUGAGGUAAUGGCUCACCAAGGCGACGAUCCCUAGCUGGUUUGAGAGGAUGAUCAGCCACACUGGAACUGAGACACGGUCCAGACUCCUACGGGAGGCAGCAGUGGGGAAUAUUGCACAAUGGGCGCAAGCCUGAUGCAGCCAUGCCGCGUGUGUGAAGAAGGCCUUAGGGUUGUAAAGCACUUUCAGUAAGGAGGAAAGGUUAGUAGUUAAUACCUGCUAGCUGUGACGUUACUUACAGAAGAAGCACCGGCUAACUCCGUGCCAGCAGCCGCGGUAAUACGGAGGGUGCGAGCGUUAAUCGGAAUUACUGGGCGUAAAGCGUACGCAGGCGGUUUGUUAAGCGAGAUGUGAAAGCCCCGGGCUCAACCUGGGAACUGCAUUUCGAACUGGCAAACUAGAGUAUGAUAGAGGGUGGUAGAAUUUCAGGUGUAGCGGUGAAAUGCGUAGAGAUCUGAAGGAAUACCGAUGGCGAAAGGCAGCCACCUGGGUCAAUACUGACGCUCAUGUACGAAAGCGUGGGGAG
RNAcentral lists this ribosomal RNA (715 nucleotides) under Pseudoalteromonas sp. RNAcentral describes it as "bacterial SSU rRNA". It matches the Rfam family "Bacterial small subunit ribosomal RNA", at positions 56 to 768 of the family's 1533-position model. The record is from RNAcentral. Lineage: Bacteria; Pseudomonadati; Pseudomonadota; Gammaproteobacteria; Alteromonadales; Pseudoalteromonadaceae.